UACGUAGGGUGCGAGCGUUAAUCGGAAUUACUGGGCGUAAAGCGUGCGCAGGCGGUUUUGUAAGUCUGUCGUGAAAUCCCCGGGCUCAACCUGGGAAUUGCGAUGGAGACUGCAAGGCUAGAAUCUGGCAGAGGGGGGUAGAAUUCCACGUGUAGCAGUGAAAUGCGUAGAGAUGUGGAGGAACACCGAUGGCGAAGGCAGCUUACUGGGCUGUAACUGACGCUGAUGCACGAAAGUGUGGGGAUCAAACAGG
Molecule: ribosomal RNA, 253 nt
Filed under: uncultured bacterium
Lineage: Bacteria
Description: partial 16S ribosomal RNA
Rfam family: Bacterial small subunit ribosomal RNA
Source: RNAcentral